This 329-nucleotide unclassified non-coding RNA is filed under the name soil metagenome. Its description in RNAcentral is "partial contains 5.8S ribosomal RNA, internal transcribed spacer 2, and large subunit ribosomal RNA". The stretch from base 1 to 120 matches the Rfam family "5.8S ribosomal RNA", at positions 35 to 154 of the family's 154-position model. The record is from RNAcentral.
GAUGAAGAACGCAGCGAAAUGCGAUAAGUAAUGUGAAUUGCAGAAUUCAGAGAAUCAUCGAAUCUUUGAACGCACAUUGCGCCCCCUGGUAUUCCGGGGGGCAUGCCUGUCCGAGCGUCAUUACAACCCUCAAGCUCAGCUUGGUGUUGGGCCCCGCCGCCCCGGCGGGCCCUAAAGUCAGUGGCGGUGCCGUCCGGCUCCGAGCGUAGUAAUUCUUCUCGCUCUGGAGGUCCGGUCGUGUGCUCGCCAGCAACCCCCAAUUUUUUUCAGGUUGACCUCGGAUCAGGUAGGGAUACCCGCUGAACUUAAGCAUAUCAAUAAGCGGAGGA